RNAcentral lists this ribosomal RNA (254 nucleotides) under uncultured bacterium. RNAcentral describes it as "partial 16S ribosomal RNA". It matches the Rfam family "Bacterial small subunit ribosomal RNA", at positions 524 to 776 of the family's 1533-position model. The record is from RNAcentral.
UACAGAGGGGGCAAGCGUUGUUCGGAAUUACUGGGCGUAAAGGGCGCGUAGGCGGCCUGCUAAGUCGAACGUGAAAACCUGCAGCUUAACUGUGGGCUUGCGGUCGAUACGGGCAUCACUGGAGUUCGGCAGGGGAGACUGGAAUUCCUGGUGUAGCGGUGAAAUGCGCAGAUAUCAGGAGGAACACCGGUGGCGAAGGCGGGUCUCUGGGCCGAUACUGACGCUGAGGAGCGAAAGCGUGGGGAGCGAACAGG